This 1110-nucleotide long non-coding RNA is filed under the name Oreochromis niloticus (Nile tilapia). Its description in RNAcentral is "lncRNA (ENSONIG00000028357.1)". The record is from RNAcentral. Lineage: Eukaryota; Metazoa; Chordata; Actinopteri; Cichliformes; Cichlidae.
AUGAAAGUCUCAGCCACCCUCUCCAGUGCCAAAGUCCCUCCGUCUAACCUCACAUUACAAGAAAAGAAGGCCGUCGCUUCCCUGAGCAAAGACCACAACAUCACUAUAUUGCCAGCCGAUAAGGGAAGGUGCACCGUGGUCCUAAACACAACAGAUUACCACACAAAGAUCACUACUCUCCUCGGUGACAACAAUACCUACGAAGCCUUAAAGCGAGACCCCACAAGCAGCUACAAAAAGAAAGUUAUAGCUUGCCUUCAAGACCUUGAAAGGGAUAAAAUCAUCGACCACCUUACAUAUCACCGCCUUUACCCAGGGGAUGCCAUACCCUGUAUCUACGGACUUCCUAAGAUCCACAAGGAAGGUAUCCCUCUCAGACCCAUUGUCAGUAGCAUAAAUUCAGCCACCUACAACAUCUCGAAACACCUUGCUACCAUCCUUGCACCUCUCGUGGGGAACACCCCACACCACAUCAAGAACUCCACCGACUUCACCGACAAGGUCCAGAAACUUACCCUGGAUCCAGAUGAAACCAUGGUGUCCUUUGAUGUAGUCUCUCUCUUCACUUGCAUACCCACCACGGAGGCAGUGGAGACUGUCAGAAAACGACUACAAGAAGACAGCUCCUUGGAAGACAGGACCAACUUCACACCCGAUCAGAUCUGCACACUGUUAGACCUCUGCCUCACCACAACAUACUUCAAAUACAACGAAGGCUUCUACAGACAAAAACAUGGCUGUGCCAUGGGCUCCCCUGUGUCACCUAUUGUAGCCAACCUUUACAUGCAGGAAGUGGAAAGGAAGGCUCUCGGCUCUUUCAAAGGAAGAGUACCCAGCCACUGGUACAGAUAUGUAGACGACACCUGGGUCAAAAUCAAAAGACAAGAAGUGGAAUCCUUCACUGCACACAUUAACGCCGUGGAUAAAAACAUCAAGUUCACCAGGGAAGACACAAAGGAUAACUGCUUGCCUUUCCUGGACUGCGCUGUGCACAUUGAAGAGAAUGGCAACCUCAACAUUGAAGUUUACCGGAAGCCCCCACUAGGGCUGGGCCAUAUUAUACUAGGGCUGGGCGAUAUAUCAAAAAUUUAUCGUUACCGAAAUUUAUGA